AUCGCUUCUCGGCCUUUUGGCUAAGAUCAAGUGUAAUAAUUAUUCAACAAUACAUUAUCUUCUAACUAGCACAUAACAAGAAAAGUUUUGUAAAUCAAGGUUUUUCACAAGUGAAGCUAAUCCAGAUUUCAAAUUGGAAAGCUUUUUCUCAUGAGAUAAAAUCC
Heterocephalus glaber (naked mole-rat) is the source of this 164-nucleotide small nuclear RNA. Its record names the gene U2. It matches the Rfam family "U2 spliceosomal RNA". Rfam says of the family: U2 is a small nuclear RNA (snRNA) component of the spliceosome (involved in pre-mRNA splicing). Complementary binding between U2 snRNA (in an area lying towards the 5' end but 3' to hairpin I) and the branchpoint sequence (BPS) of the intron results the bulging out of an unpaired adenosine, on the BPS, which initiates a nucleophilic attack at the intronic 5' splice site, thus starting the first of two transesterification reactions that mediate splicing. NCBI's taxonomy places the organism in Eukaryota, Metazoa, Chordata, Mammalia, Rodentia, Bathyergidae. The record is from Ensembl.